Molecule: ribosomal RNA, 237 nt
Filed under: uncultured bacterium
Lineage: Bacteria
Description: partial 16S ribosomal RNA
Rfam family: Bacterial small subunit ribosomal RNA
Source: RNAcentral
UGAAGAAUUUAUCCAACGGCGGGGGAUAGCCGGCCCAACGGCCGGGUAAUACCGCGUACGACCCUCGGGGGGCAUCCCUUGAAGGUGAAAGCCGCAAGGCGCCGAUGGAGAACUUCGCGGCCUAUCAGCUAGUUGGUGGGGUCAUGGCUCACCAAGGCGACGACGGGUAGCUGGUCCGAGAGGAUGACCAGCCACAUUGGGACUGAGACACGGCCCAGACCUCCGUACGGGAGGCAG